Molecule: ribosomal RNA, 110 nt
Filed under: Blautia obeum
Lineage: Bacteria; Bacillati; Bacillota; Clostridia; Lachnospirales; Lachnospiraceae
Description: partial 16S ribosomal RNA
Rfam family: Bacterial small subunit ribosomal RNA
Source: RNAcentral
UUUUAUCAGAGAGUUUGAUCCUGGCUCAGGAUGAACGCUGGCGGCGUGCUUAACACAUGCAAGUCGAACGGGAAACUUUUCAUUGAAGCUUCGGCAGAUUUGGUCUGUUU